This 492-nucleotide long non-coding RNA is filed under the name Elaeis guineensis (African oil palm). RNAcentral describes it as "long non-coding RNA (EGUI_LNC013273)". The record is from RNAcentral. Lineage: Eukaryota; Viridiplantae; Streptophyta; Magnoliopsida; Arecales; Arecaceae.
AAUAAAUUAAACAAAAUGCAACUAAAAUCCUACACUCCUUGCUUCUCUCCGAUCCUCGUAUAUUCUUAUGGAUCUGAGAAGAAAUAGAAUAUAGAAGUGAGCUUUGCGAGCUCAAUAAGUUACUAACAACACUAAUUCAUUUAAAUAUUUAUACAAAAAAAUAAAUUUUAAUUUCAUGAUUUUUUAUAAAAAUAUUUCAAUAAGUAUAAAAGUAUGCCAUAUCAAUCAACAUCGAUUCGAAUUAUGUAUUUGCUCGAAAUAAAUUUUUUAAUCUCUCAAUGAUCGAUCUUCUGCUGUCACUCUCCUAGUAUCUCUGACUAUGGCCAUGAUCAGCCCAUGGCUAAUCUUGAAAAAGAUUAGAUCAUGACUAUAACAUAUUCUCCAUUGGUCAUGAGUCAGUGAUCAUCCCACCGAAAGUCUGGAAGGAAAAACUAGCUCCAAUAUCAUGUGAAGAAUGUGUUCUUAUCAGCACAUGCUAGUAAUUAACCCCGC